GCCGGGCAUGGUGGUGUGUGCCUAUAGUCCCAGCUACUUGGGGGGCUGAGGUGGGAGGAUCGCUUGAACCCAGGAGGUUGAGGCUGCAGUGAGCUGACAUUGUGCCACUUCACUCCAGCCUGGGUGACAAAGUGAGAUCCUGUCUCAA
This 148-nucleotide non-coding RNA is filed under the name Nomascus leucogenys (northern white-cheeked gibbon). The record is from Rfam by way of RNAcentral. Lineage: Eukaryota; Metazoa; Chordata; Mammalia; Primates; Hylobatidae.